This 391-nucleotide unclassified non-coding RNA is filed under the name soil metagenome. RNAcentral's name for it is "partial contains 5.8S ribosomal RNA, internal transcribed spacer 2, and large subunit ribosomal RNA". The stretch from base 1 to 122 matches the Rfam family "5.8S ribosomal RNA", at positions 35 to 154 of the family's 154-position model. The record is from RNAcentral.
GAUGAAGAACGUAGCGAAAUGCGAUACUUGGUGUGAAUUGCAGAAUCCCGUGAACCAUCGAGUCUUUGGACGCAAGUUGCGCCCGAAGCCAUUAGGCCGAGGGCACGCCUGCCUGGGCGUCACACGUCGUUGCCCCCCCAUCUACUCCUUCGGGAUUGCGGGGGGCGGAUGAUGGCCUCCCGUGCGCCUCGUCGCGCGGUUGGCAUAAAUGCCAAGUCCUCGGCGACGCACGCCACGACAAUCGGUGGUUGCGAAACCUCGGUUGCCCGUCGUGUGCGGUCGUCGCGCAUCGAGGGCUCGAAAAAAUUGCCGGGCUCCGGCUCGGCUUUCAACGCGACCCCAGGUCAGGCGGGGUUACCCGCUGAAUUUAAGCAUAUCAAUAAGCGGAGGA